CCCUAGUAUGAAGUAAAUAUUACUGAUUAAUAUAUUGAAAUUUAAUAAUUCUGGCGGUUAAUUAUAAAUUAGAGGAGCUUGUUGGAUUGGAUGAUGCCCUUUAAAUCUUAUUAAUUUAGGUUUAUUCAUCUCCGUUAUUAGAUAUAAAUUAGAUAUAAUUAUUAAUUUAUUUUUAAUAUUUCAGGUCAAGAUGUAGCUUUAAUUAGAUAAUAUUAGCUACAAUUAUAAAAUAAUGGAGUUUAUUUUGGAAAAGUAGAUGAAAAUGAAUUUGAUUGUAAUAUUAAUUAGAGAAUUAGUAUGAAAUAUUUAUUAAUGUA
This 317-nucleotide ribosomal RNA is filed under the name Phareicranaus sp. MZSP 73076. RNAcentral's name for it is "partial small subunit ribosomal RNA". Lineage: Eukaryota; Metazoa; Arthropoda; Arachnida; Opiliones; Cranaidae. The record is from RNAcentral.